RNAcentral lists this long non-coding RNA (219 nucleotides) under Vigna radiata. RNAcentral's name for it is "long non-coding RNA (VRAD_LNC010173)". The record is from RNAcentral. Lineage: Eukaryota; Viridiplantae; Streptophyta; Magnoliopsida; Fabales; Fabaceae.
CAUCAGGUGGAAAAGUGUUAUUCGCACAAUCAAUUGUGUUUUUAUGCUAUUCUGUUUUAAUCUCAUGAUUGUGUGCUUGUGAGUGUUGGAUAUGAUGCAAUAAGAGGAAAAUGCAUACCACAAAAUAUGAUUAAGAUAUUAUAGUGGAGAGCAUUACUCUGCAGAUUCCAAAUCUAUUACACAGCAGCUUGAACCGUGCUGCAUACAUCUUUGCAGAGA